ACAGGUAUAUAUUGUUUUUUUUUUUCAAUUAAAACAUUGUCAUCUUAUUCACUAGAUUCCUUUUCUCUUUAUCAAUUUUUAUUUAUUUUUUAUUUUUUUUGUAUUCAUUCUAAAUAUAGAAUUGAAGACAAUUUGAUACAUCUUAUCCUACCUUAUAGUCAAUCAAAUAUGAGAUAAAGAUAUAUUAUCUUAAUUUUUAUC
This 201-nucleotide long non-coding RNA is filed under the name Vitis vinifera (wine grape). RNAcentral describes it as "long non-coding RNA (VVIN_LNC006201)". The record is from RNAcentral. Lineage: Eukaryota; Viridiplantae; Streptophyta; Magnoliopsida; Vitales; Vitaceae.